RNAcentral lists this long non-coding RNA (889 nucleotides) under Salmo salar (Atlantic salmon). RNAcentral's name for it is "lncRNA (ENSSSAG00000090487.1)". Lineage: Eukaryota; Metazoa; Chordata; Actinopteri; Salmoniformes; Salmonidae. The record is from RNAcentral.
CAGUCUGAUGGUCUGGGAGGUAGUAACUAGUAGUGUCUAUUCAGCAGUCUGAUGGUCUGGAGGUAGUAACUAGUAGUGUCUAUUCAGCAGUCUGAUGGUCUGGGAGGUAGUAACUAGUAGUGUCUAUUCAGCAUUCUGAUGGUCUCGGAGGUAGUAACUAGUAGUGUCUAUUCAGCAGUCUGAUAGUCUGGAGGUAGUACUUAGUAGUGUCUAUUCAGCAGUCUGAUAGUCUGGGAGGUAGUAACUAGUAGUGUCUAUUCAGCAAUCUGAUAGUCUGGAGGUAGUAACUAGUAGUGUCUAUUCAGCAGUCUGAUAGUCUGGAGGUAGUAACUAGUAGUGUCUAUUCAGCAGUCUGACGGUCUGGAGGUAGUAACUAGUAGUGUCUAUUCAGCAGUCUGAUGUUCUGGGAGGUAGUAACUAGUAGUGUCUAUUCAGCAGUCUGAUGGUCUGGGAGAUAGUAACUAGUAGUGUCUAUUCAGCAGUCUGAUGGUCUGGGAGGUAGUAACUAGUAGUGUCUAUUCAGCAGUCUGAUGGUCUGGGAGGUAGUAACUAGUAGUGUCUAUUCAGCAGUCUGAUAGUCUGGGAGGUAGUAACUAGUAGUGUCUAUUCAGCAGUCUGAUAGUCUGGGAGGUAAUAACUAGUAGUGUCUAUUCAGCAGUCUGAUGGUCUGGAGGUAGUAACUAGUAGUGUCUAUUCAGCAGUCUGAUAGUCUGGAGGUAGGAACUAGUAGUGUCUAUUCAGCAGUCUGAUGGUCUGGGAGGUAGUAACUAGUAGUGUCUAUUCAGCAGUCUGAUGGUCUGGAGGUAGUAACUAGUAGUGUCUAUUCAGCAGUCUUAUGGUCUGCGAGGUAGUAACUAGUAGUGUCUAUUCAGCAGUCUGAUAGUCUGGG